This 277-nucleotide unclassified non-coding RNA is filed under the name sea anemone metagenome. RNAcentral describes it as "partial contains small subunit ribosomal RNA and internal transcribed spacer 1". The stretch from base 1 to 155 matches the Rfam family "Eukaryotic small subunit ribosomal RNA", at positions 1678 to 1831 of the family's 1831-position model. The record is from RNAcentral.
GCAUCUACCGAUUGAAUGGAGAGGUAAAAUCUCCGGACUAUGACGCGUUGGGGUCAAACCUAAUUCAGUCGUGGGAAGUGGAUUAAACCUUUCCAUUUAGAGGAAGAUGAAGUCGUAACAAGGUUUCCGUAGGUGAACCUGCAGAAGGAUCAAGUUCGUAAGAUCGUCGUUUAGGGAAAGAGUGUAUAUCUCGGUUUUCUCCGUAUCAUUUAAACACAAAUCUUUCUUUCUUUCUUUUUUUUUUCUUUUCUCUUCAUUUUCUUUCUUUUCUUUGUUU